UCUGUAGCUCAAUGGAUAGAGCGUCUGUUUCCUAAGCAGAAGGUCAUAGGUUCAACCCCUACCUGA
RNAcentral lists this transfer RNA (66 nucleotides) under Spinacia oleracea (spinach). It matches the Rfam family "tRNA". From Rfam's summary of the family: Transfer RNA (tRNA) molecules are approximately 80 nucleotides in length. Their secondary structure includes four short double-helical elements and three loops (D, anti-codon, and T loops). The record is from Rfam by way of RNAcentral. Lineage: Eukaryota; Viridiplantae; Streptophyta; Magnoliopsida; Caryophyllales; Amaranthaceae.